UACGAAGGGGACUAGCGUUGUUCGGAAUUACUGGGCGUAAAGCGCACGUAGGCGGAUUUGUUAGUCAGGGGUGAAAUCCCGGGGCUCAACCUCGGAACUGCCUUUGAUACUGCAAGUCUCGAGUCCGAUAGAGGUGGGUGGAAUUCCUAGUGUAGAGGUGAAAUUCGUAGAUAUUAGGAAGAACACUGGUGGCGAAGGCGGCCCACUGGAUCGGUACUGACGCUGAGGUGCGAAAGCGUGGGGAGCAAACAGG
Molecule: ribosomal RNA, 253 nt
Filed under: uncultured bacterium
Lineage: Bacteria
Description: partial 16S ribosomal RNA
Rfam family: Bacterial small subunit ribosomal RNA
Source: RNAcentral